This 545-nucleotide ribosomal RNA is filed under the name Bacillus sp. SSCA21. RNAcentral's name for it is "bacterial SSU rRNA". It matches the Rfam family "Bacterial small subunit ribosomal RNA", at positions 27 to 559 of the family's 1533-position model. The record is from RNAcentral. Lineage: Bacteria; Bacillati; Bacillota; Bacilli; Caryophanales; Bacillaceae.
GGACGAACGCUGGCGGCGUGCCUAAUACAUGCAAGUCGAGCGGACUAAAAGGGGCUUGCUCCUUUUAGUUAGCGGCGGACGGGUGAGUAACACGUGGGCAACCUGCCCGUAAGAUCGGGAUAACUUCGGGAAACCGGAGCUAAUACCGGAUAACACCGAAGACCGCAUGGUCUUUGGUUGAAAGGCGGCUUUGGCUGUCACUUACGGAUGGGCCCGCGGCGCAUUAGCUAGUUGGUGAGGUAACGGCUCACCAAGGCGACGAUGCGUAGCCGACCUGAGAGGGUGAUCGGCCACACUGGGACUGAGACACGGCCCAGACUCCUACGGGAGGCAGCAGUAGGGAAUCUUCCGCAAUGGACGAAAGUCUGACGGAGCAACGCCGCGUGAGCGAAGAAGGUCUUCGGAUUGUAAAGCUCUGUUGUUAGGGAAGAACAAGUACCGUUCGAAUAGGCGGUACCGUGACGGUACCUAACGAGAAAGCCACGGCUAACUACGUGCCAGCAGCCGCGGUAUACCUAGUGGCAAGCGUUGUCCGGAUAUUGGGC